This 343-nucleotide long non-coding RNA is filed under the name Theobroma cacao (cacao). Its description in RNAcentral is "long non-coding RNA (TCAC_LNC005909)". The record is from RNAcentral. Lineage: Eukaryota; Viridiplantae; Streptophyta; Magnoliopsida; Malvales; Malvaceae.
CUAAAUAUAAAUGUUUCACAAGUCAUCCAUAUGGCAAUAAAUGUCAAAACUAACCAAAUUAUCCAACAAAUCUAAUCAUAAGUUUAAAUAGGAGCAUAACCAACCAUAUGUAGCAUCCAAUGCUUCAAGUAAUGCAUCAAUGUGGUUACUUCCUCAGCUAAGAUCCUACUCAUCCUUGUCCUUGGUCUCUACAAUAUGUCAUACAUAUUAGAACCAACAUAAGGUGUCACGACCCGGCACUCCCCUUGAGCCCGUAACAACCACCGCGAUAUCUCGAUUGACAUUCCUUACCCAAAAUGCCAACCAAAAUCUCGCAAGGCUUUCGCAUCAGUUUUACUUCUCC